This is a long non-coding RNA of Ruditapes philippinarum (Manila clam), 1445 nucleotides long. RefSeq lists it as uncharacterized. Lineage: Eukaryota; Metazoa; Mollusca; Bivalvia; Venerida; Veneridae. The transcript is spliced from 4 exons. The record is from RefSeq and is a predicted model, not a curated record.
AAACUCUGUACACAUUAGUCACCGACGGAGAAGUUGAUAAUAUUCUAUUUUUACAGCGAAGCGUCAUACUUUCUAGAAGGUAGAUUUCGCCUACUCGUGGAAACGGUCUACACAAUCGUUUAUAUAGUUUUAUACGCGUAUUUUUUGUACAUAUAUAUUUACAUGUUUGAUCUUGUUAUAUUAUAUUUGGAUAUAAAAAUUCAUAUGAUCAUAGUAUUCCUAUCAACAAAGGACAAUUGACGUGUAAAAUGAAAGAGAAACAUUGUGAUUAAAAAUGAGGAUUUGUGAACGGUAGACGAUGACCUAGCUCAUCAGAAACAUGAUAUGAUGGCUACAGCAGUGCCAACAGUGCAGGCACAAUUUUCGAAAUCAAAAUUUCUUAAUUGGAUUAAGGCUGCAAUAGCCAUUUUUUACACUAAAGACGAAAUAGAGCCAGUUAUUGUUAAUGAAGUCAAAGAUUUCCAGCAGAACUCUCUAAAUACUAUUUCCUCAUCAAACAGCCUACCAGCCGGAAGCACCUGUUCAAACUGCUGUACGGAAAAUCUGAUUGUUUGUCCAACAAACAGAAUUUGCAACGCAAAACGAGGAAAAUGCAGUUACCAUAAAAACGCUGCAACACAGUAUCGCCCAUCUGGCUGCCCGAAUAAAAUUUGUCAUCAUUUAAAAUCUAAGAUUCAAAGUGCACAUCGAUAUCAUGGUCCGUCAUAUAAAAAUACGGACGCAACCAAAUGGUGCAGCAAUGCUUGGGAAAUUGCUAAAUGUUAUCUCCCGCCAGACGGAUACAAGGAUGUCUCGAACGCUGGAGAUACUGAUUUUAAUGGCAUCAUUAGUGUCAUUAUUAAUCACAAAGGAUUUGAGGCGAAAAUAAACGACGACUUGUCCAAGAAGAAUAAUAUAUUUGACAAGGGUAGAGAUGUUGGUAAAGCUGUCAGACAUUCUCCUAAUCUGGAGGUCGAGGAUACAGAUCUAACACAGUAUUUACCAUUUUAAACAAUAUUUUGACGGAUCCUGGAUUCAUAAAAUUGAAUAAAUCACCAAACAAUGCAAUUCAAAAAUUGGCAAAGCUUCAAAGUGACGAUUUGAUCAUUGGAAAAGACGUUGUACGUAAAGUUUUGGAAGAUGUGGGAAAAACGAUUCAGGAACAAAUAAGAAAUGAGAUGGAUGAGUACAAACAGGAGACUGAAAAAAAGAAAAUUAGAGCUUAUUGACAUAAUUAACUUAAAAGUAAAAGAUAUUGAAGAUAAAGGAAAUGUUUCACUUGCCAAGCUGAAUGAUACGAUAAACUCGUCCAUUGAUGCUUUUGAUGCUAAGGUAAAACAAUCGAUUCAGGAGAUAGAAAACUUGGCAAGAAAAGGAAAAGAAACCCUUGAAAGUGUUGCCAAUGAUGGAGUUCAAAACGUCAACAAAGAAAAGGAAAAUGCAAUAAAGGAGAAUACAAAAAGCUG